AAAGCAGAUCACCUUAUCGCUUUAUGUAAAAUAUAAAGAGGAAAGUCCGGACACCAUAGCGUAGCAUAGCGGGUAACUCCCGUCAUCUUGAUUACUCGAGAUAGGACAAGUGCAGCAGAAAGUAUGUACAGGUAAUGCUGUAGUGAAACCAGGUAAACUCUAUGCGGUGCAACGUCAUGUAAACCAGCUUUAAGGGUUGCGCGCCCAACGUUGGAGGGUAGACGGUUUGAGCUAAUAAGUAAUUGUUAGUCUAGAUAAAUGAUAAGGAUAUUCGUUUCGACGAGGAAACAGAAUCCGGCUUAUGAUCUGCUUUUUUU
Molecule: non-coding RNA, 317 nt
Organism: Aquimarina sp.
Lineage: Bacteria; Pseudomonadati; Bacteroidota; Flavobacteriia; Flavobacteriales; Flavobacteriaceae
Rfam family: Bacterial RNase P class A
About the family: Ribonuclease P (RNase P) is a ubiquitous endoribonuclease, found in archaea, bacteria and eukarya as well as chloroplasts and mitochondria. Its best characterised activity is the generation of mature 5'-ends of tRNAs by cleaving the 5'-leader elements of precursor-tRNAs. Cellular RNase Ps are ribonucleoproteins.
Source: Rfam